This is a long non-coding RNA of Lolium rigidum, 1695 nucleotides long. RefSeq lists it as uncharacterized. The transcript is spliced from 6 exons. The record is from RefSeq and is a predicted model, not a curated record. NCBI's taxonomy places the organism in Eukaryota, Viridiplantae, Streptophyta, Magnoliopsida, Poales, Poaceae.
CUUGCUGCCGCUCGUCCUGAAUAUGGAGAUUGCCAUAUAGCUGAAUAAUGGGCAACAGGUUCAGGUCCACUUCCUCCACUCGGACGCGGGGGAAAAGAACGAGUGCAAUGGAUAGGAUUAUCACGACGAGGACUGUAUGGUAGCUGGAAGAAGCUGUAGUAGCUGCCCGCAGCAGCCUCUUGCUCAUGGCAAGGGCUCCAGCGGUGCUGCUGCUGCUGCUGGGUACACCCUCGCCUCCCACGCCGCAACCGUGGGGUGCUGGCAAUGGCUACACCAUCUCCGGUGAUCUGCUCAGGGAGCUUGGCUACCCAGACGGCCCUGCUGACCGGAGCAAGGACGGCCCUGCUGACCGGAGCAAAGACGGGGUGUCCGUGGAGCUGGGACAAGGGAGCAGCACUGCUGGUUCCAGGGCUGAAGCCAGUUGACUAUUGAGUGCGUCCUACCUGGGGCAAGCAGGGUGAGCCAGGCAUCGUUAGGGGCCAGCGGAGCUGUUUCUCUCGUGGCGUGAUGUUGUCCGGAGCGUGCAGCGGAGCUGGGUGAAGGGAGCAGCACUGCUUUACGUCCACCCUCGCUGACGUGUGAUGGCGGCGAGUUCAGCACGCCGCUACCGUGGCAGCGGUGGCCUCACAGGUGAUUCCUUGGGUUGCCCUUUGAUGUUGUUUCAGCCAUCGAGGGUGACUUAUGGUGUGCAUCGGCAUUUGUUGAUGUUCUGUUCUUUUGGGGGCUAUGGAAAAUCUUGAUGAUGUUUGUAUGCCACAUGGGUUGUGCUGUAUGCACUAGUAUUGUCUGAGUUGAAGUAUAUUAUUUGUUGUGCAGGUUUGAAUGUCCAAAAAAGAGGGAAGGUCAUGACAAAAAUUUCAGUACUCCCUGGUUGUUGUCUUGGUAUAUAUUCCUUAGUUGCUGACUGGAGCAAGGAUGGGGUGUCCGUGGAGCUGGGCCAAGGUAGCAGCGCUGCUGGUUCUGGGCCGAGGCCCGCUGACUAUUGAGUGCGACCUAACUGGGCCAAGCAGGGAGAAUAGGGCAUCGUCAGGAGCCAGCGGUGCUGUUUCUCUUGUCAUGGCAUUGUUGGGAGCGGCUAAAGCUGGGUGAAGGGAGCAGCGCCGCUUCACCUCCGCCCUCGCUGACCUGCGAUGGCGGCGACUUCAACAAACCGCUACCAUUGUAGCGGUGGCCUCUCAGGUCUGAAUGUCCAAAAAAGAGGGAAGGUCAUGAUGAAAUUUUCAGUACUCCCUGGUUGUUUUCUUUAGUUGGUAUAAAUUCCUUCGUUGCUAUUUCGUCCUGGUGGUUUGGGCCAGAAUUUCUGCUUGGCCUAGCUCUAAUUUUUCAUUGAAAACAUUUGAAACUAUUGGACAUGAAAGCAGCUGCGGGAGAGCGAUUGUGGCUGUGGCUGCAAGGGGCAGCAGUGGCUGUAGGAGGUGAGGAUGAUGCUUGGAUAUCGAACACAUGUUGCAAUGGCAGCCCUUUGCGUCAUCAUCAAUUGUCAGAAGCUGGCAGAAGACUCGACCAAAUAGAAAGCCCAUCUCUAUGUAUGCUAUGCAUGCCGCAGCCUCGGUCGAGCAAGCGAGCAGACAUCAUCCUAGUCAAGUUUGUAAUUUGUGUUGUGUUAGAAUAAGUCUGUGUGCCAUUCUGUUUGGCGUAAAUUAUAUGUUUGAUGCUGUGCAUUUGUUGGUGCAUCGGCUGAUUUGCCUUGACAUU